This 128-nucleotide small RNA is filed under the name Alteromonas sp. ZYF713. RNAcentral's name for it is "RtT sRNA". It matches the Rfam family "RtT RNA". Rfam says of the family: This family represents a bacterial cis-regulatory element known as RtT RNA. Lineage: Bacteria; Pseudomonadati; Pseudomonadota; Gammaproteobacteria; Alteromonadales; Alteromonadaceae. The record is from RNAcentral.
AACCAUACAUGCUCGCGCAGGAUGCGAACCAGCGAAGCUGUUCGACACUAAACUUGUUUAGUGAACGUGCUUCAGCACGGCCCGAAGGGUGAGCCUCGCAGAGGCGAAUCAUCCAGCACGACCCACCA